GGACAUCGGCGUCGCGCACUGCACCAAGACCUCGGCGCAGCCAUGGAGAGCGGAGGGCGGCCUUCGCUGUGCCAGUUCAUCCUCUUGGGCACCAGUUCUGUCGUCACUGCUAUCCUGUACUCCGUAUACAGACAGAAGGCCCAGGUCUCCCAUGAGCUGAAGGGAGCUAAAAAAAUCCACUUGGGUGAAGAUCUAAAGAGUAUUCUUUUGGAAGCUCCAGGAAAAUGUGUGCCUUAUGCUGUUAUUGAAGGGGCUGUGCGAUCUGUUAAAGAAACACUUAACAGCCAGUUUGUGGAAAAUUGCAAGGGGGUGAUUCAGCGUCUGACACUUCAGGAGCACAAGAUGGUGUGGAAUCGAACCACUCAUCUUUGGAAUGACUAUUCAAAGAUCAUCCACCAGAGAACCAACACGGUGCCAUUUGACCUGGUGCCCCACGAGGAUGGUGUGGAUGUGGCCGUCCGAGUGCUGAAGCCCCUGGACUCGGUGGAUCUGGGCCUGGAGACUGUGUAUGAGAAGUUCCACCCCUCGAUCCAGUCCUUCACUGAUGUCAUCGGCCACUACAUCAGCGGUGAGCGGCCCAAAGGCAUCCAGGAGACAGAGGAGAUGCUGAAGGUCGGGGCCACCCUCACAGGGGUGGGUGAACUGGUCCUGGACAACAACUCUGUCCGCCUCCAGCCCCCCAAGCAGGGCAUGCAGUACUACCUGAGCAGCCAGGACUUCGACAGCCUGCUGCAGAGGCAGGAGUCGAGCGUCCGACUCUGGAAGGUCCUGACGCUGGUAUUUGGCUUUGCUGCCUGUGCCACCCUCUUCUUCAUCCUCCGAAAGCAGUACCUGCAGCGGCAGGAGAGACUGCGCCUCAAGCAGAUGCAGGAGGAAUUCCGGGAGCACGAGGCCCAGCUGCUAAGCCGAGUCACACCUGAGAACAGGGAGAGUCUGAAGAGUGCCUGUGUCGUGUGUCUGAGCAACUUCAAGUCCUGCGUCUUCUUGGAGUGUGGGCAUGUCUGUUCCUGCACGGAGUGCUACCGCGCCUUGCCAGAGCCCAAGAGAUGCCCCAUCUGCAGACAGGAGGUCACCCGCGUGGUUCCUUUGUACAAUAGCUAACUGUCCUGAAGCCACACAGUCAGACCUGGAAGUAAUCCUCCCUUCCAGGGAUUCUUAUCUUGACGCCUUUAAGAGAGCAGUGGUGGGGGUGACUGUCAAUCUCCAGGUGUGACUGAGGGGUGAGAGGAGAGCAGAGAAGGAACCUACCUGAUCCCACACAUCUGGCCCAGGAUGUGGCCUUCCCAGCUUGAGGGGAACCUUUCCUCAUGGAGCAUGAGAGUUGAAGACCCACCCUGAGUGAUGUGGCAGCAUGGCCGCCCUUCCCAGGAACCAGAUAAGUGUGCCUGUGGUUUGAGACACCUCAUCUCUUAAGUGUUGAAGCCAGUGAUCUUCAGACCCUUGCUCCUGUGUCUGGUCCUUUCUGGUGAACUGUCGAUUCCUGCAGACUUGUAGUAGGACUUGGCCUGGGCCCAGGCUUGAAUGAUUCGGCCAGAGGGGAGGAAAAGUUGGGAUCUGAGGCCAUUGUGUGCCUUGAGAGCUGCUUCUGAAGAUGCUCUUAGUUUCUCUUUCUUAUAAACGCGGGAAAAAGUCUUCACAGUUGUCAGUCGAGACGUGUGAGUUACAUCCCUUUCACCUCCCCUGUCUGCCCCUAAAUGUGUGCACGUCCGUGUAGAGGACAAAAGAGAGUGAAGUUCAGCACAUCUGCCUUCUACUUAAACGCAUGUCACACCGGUCAGCAGGGUGAGGAGCCGUCACUUGAGGCCAGUCAACGAACAGCUCCCAGCUUGGCUGCAGCCCCUCUGCUGUCUCUACUGACCUAAGGGACUGACCUCACGGCAGGGCCACCAGAGUGCACACCUUUGGCCCUGAUUUGGAACUCCUCCAGCUUGCGGGUGCCAAGGGCUGGCUGCUGGUCAUCCCUGCCUGCCUGACGAUGGGCUGGAAAGGCCUCACCACCCAGAGGAAGCAGUCCGGAUGCGGCUGCCCUCACCUGCUUCCGCAACUUCUUUCCAGGGUUGUCACCAAGGAAGCCUCACCUGUGGCAACUCCCACCGUUCGUUUGAGGAGCCUCAUCUCCAGGAAGGAUGAAUGGGGCCUAAGCUGUGGGACUGUGGUAGGUGCUCGACGUGUAAAUUGCUUAGUAACUCUCAGCAGCCAGGAAGGAGGCAGGUGAGUGGGAGAUGAGGGGGGUGGUCCCAGCCUUUCCUGCUCUCAGCACUUCAGGGAAUCCCCUACACGGACUUAGACUCACAGCUGGGCAGAGUGGUUUCUUCUGGCUCCAUCACUAGCCUGUGACCUUGGGCAAGUCACUUAUCCUCUUUCUGCUACAUCAGUUAAAAAGGGACGCAACGUCUCAUCUUUCUGCCUCAAAAAGUAUUUAUUUUGAGAAGCAAGGUCGGUAACAGAUGUGAAAAUCCUUUGGGGUGGGGGGAAAGAAAGCAUGAUUCAAAGUAAGAGCUUCUUGCUGCUGUAACUUUAUCAUUCUGCUUGUUAUGCUUUUGUUUUCUCUCCCAGCACUUGGCCCAGCCCUAACCUCAAAGCAGACACUUAGUAGAACCUUAAUGAAUGGAGACAGGCGGCUUGCGCAGUGGAGCAAAGGGAGUCUGGAGACCUGCUGCUUCUGCCAUUGACAAGCUGUGGGAUUUGGGGCAAGACCCUGACCCUCUCUGAGCUUCAGUUUCCUCAUCUAAAAAUCAGGGGGCUGGACUAGAUCAUCUCUAAGAAUUCUUUGAGCUCUGACUGUUUGAAAGUGUGAAUAAAUGAAGCACUCCUGUUCUUGCUCAUUCAUUAAGUCAUUCCUUACAUGUUUAUUGAACAUCCACUCUGAGCCAGGCACUGGGAGUCUGAAUUUGUUUUGUUCUCAUAACAGUCCCACAAGGUACCUAGCCAUAUACCCCAUUUUACAGCUGAGAUUAUAGAAGUUCAGAGAGGAAAUGUGAUUUGCCCAAAGUCACACAGCUAGUAAAUGACAAAGCUGGGAUUCA
Molecule: RNA transcript, 3026 nt
Organism: Trichechus manatus latirostris (Florida manatee)
Lineage: Eukaryota; Metazoa; Chordata; Mammalia; Sirenia; Trichechidae
Gene: MUL1
Gene name: mitochondrial E3 ubiquitin protein ligase 1
Exons: 6
Source: RefSeq, a predicted model, not a curated record